RNAcentral lists this long non-coding RNA (456 nucleotides) under Bos taurus (domestic cattle). Its description in RNAcentral is "long non-coding RNA NONBTAT011281". The record is from RNAcentral. Lineage: Eukaryota; Metazoa; Chordata; Mammalia; Artiodactyla; Bovidae.
CUAGAUACUAUCUAAACAAAUGAGCAUAGCCUAAAUUCCAAAUUUGGCCUAUUACCCCUGCAAUAUAUUAGGUAAUAGAGGCAGUAAUUACAGAUUAUUAGAUAGUAUUGCAAAAAUGAAAACACUGUUUACCAAUAGGUUGGUGAGGGUGUGUGUGUGUGUGUGUCUGUUUCAUUUCUGAGAGUGUGGGAGUGAAGAAUAAGCUGUCAAUCCCACUUCCAAUGAUGAUUAAAAACAGGAGGAAUUUAGAUAAUGUAUUAUAAAUUACUUAUUUGGAGAUAUGUCUGCUAGAAUACAGUUUUAAGAAAAAUUAUGACAUUUAAUGAUUCUCCAACUGAUUACAAGUAUGCUUCAAAAUCUAAUAUUGUGCUUAAAAUUUUUAAGAACUGAGAAGUCAAAUUUCUGUCUAUUAUAGUGUCUUUCAUGGAGUAAGGGCUGGAUAUAGGAAAAAAAAUC